AUUGAACGCUGGCGGUAGGCCUAACACAUGCAAGUCGAAUGGUAACAGGAAACAGCUUGCUGUUUCGCUGACGAGUGGCGGACGGGUGAGUAAUGUCUGGGAAACUGCCUGAUGGAGGGGGAUAACUACUGGAAACGGUAGCUAAUACCGCAUAACGUCGCAAGACCAAAGAGGGGGACCUUCGGGCCUCUUGCCAUCAGAUGUGCCCAGAUGGGAUUAGCUAGUAGGUGGGGUAACGGCUCACCUAGGCGACGAUCCCUAGCUGGUCUGAGAGGAUGACCAGCCACACUGGAACUGAGACACGGUCCAGACUCCUACGGGAGGCAGCAGUGGGGAAUAUUGCACAAUGGGCGCAAGCCUGAUGCAGCCAUGCCGCGUGUAUGAAGAAGGCCUUCGGGUUGUAAAGUACUUUCAGCGGGGAGGAAGGGAGUAAAGUUAAUACCUUUGCUCAUUGACGUUACCCGAAGAAGAAGCACCGGCUAACUCCGUG
RNAcentral lists this ribosomal RNA (490 nucleotides) under uncultured bacterium. RNAcentral describes it as "partial 16S ribosomal RNA". It matches the Rfam family "Bacterial small subunit ribosomal RNA", at positions 30 to 507 of the family's 1533-position model. The record is from RNAcentral.